GCGCCCGUGGCUCGAUGGACAGAGCAUCGGACUUCGGAUCCGAGGGUUGGAGGUUCGAGUCCUCCCGGGCGUGCCA
This 76-nucleotide transfer RNA is filed under the name Gammaproteobacteria bacterium. Its description in RNAcentral is "tRNA-Arg". It matches the Rfam family "tRNA". Rfam says of the family: Transfer RNA (tRNA) molecules are approximately 80 nucleotides in length. Their secondary structure includes four short double-helical elements and three loops (D, anti-codon, and T loops). The record is from RNAcentral. Lineage: Bacteria; Pseudomonadati; Pseudomonadota; Gammaproteobacteria.